This 209-nucleotide unclassified non-coding RNA is filed under the name soil metagenome. RNAcentral's name for it is "partial internal transcribed spacer 1". The record is from RNAcentral.
UUGAACAAACCGGUGUGGCUGAGCUGGCCUUUUCGAAGGCAUGUGCACGGCCCGCCACUGUUUCAUCCUUCUCUUCCACCUGUGCACUUCUGUGGGCCCACUCCAGCACACGCCUUAGUGCGCUGGAACCUGGUGCCUACGUUUCACUAUCUACACCAUCGAAUGUUCAGAAUGCAUGAAUUGGGCGUUACUGCCUAUAAAACCUUAUA